AAUAGAUACCCCGGUAGUCCACGCCGUAAACGAUGGAUGCUAGCUAUUGGGGGGAAUCGACCCCCUCCGAAGCGAAGCUAACGCGUUAAGCAUCCCGCCUGAGUAGUACGAGCGCAAGCUUAAAACUCAAAGGAAUUGACGGGGACCCGCACAAGCGGUGGAGCGUGUGGUUUAAUUCGAUGGUAAACGAAGAACCUUACCAAGGUUUGACAUCCCGGUAGCCGUUCUCCGAAAGGAGAAUUUCAUUUAGUUGGACCGGUGACAGGUGAUGCAUGGCCGUCGUCAGCUCGUGUCGUGAGAUGUUGGGUUAAGUCCCGCAACGAGCGCAACCCUUAUGAUUUAGUUGGAUUUUUCUAAACAGACUGCCCUGGUAACAGGGAGGAAGGAGGGGAUGAUGUCAGGUCAGUAUUUCCCUUACACCUUGGGGCGACACACGCGCUACAAUGGCCGGUACAAUGGGCAGCUAAGCCGCGAGGUGGAGCAAAUCCCAUCAAAGCCGGUCCCAGUUCGGAUUGCAGGCUGAAACCCGCCUGCAUGAAGCCGGAAUCGCUAGUAACCAGU
RNAcentral lists this ribosomal RNA (561 nucleotides) under uncultured bacterium. RNAcentral describes it as "bacterial SSU rRNA". It matches the Rfam family "Bacterial small subunit ribosomal RNA", at positions 777 to 1346 of the family's 1533-position model. The record is from RNAcentral.